CCGACGAUGACAGAGUCGAUCUCUCCAACUAGGGCGAUAGAUCUGACGGCAAAAGCCCGAUCGUCCCUAGAAGAAGCUCAACAAAGUCAUUUCUGCAAACGAAGAUCGAAGCCCGACGAUGACAGAGUCGAUCUCUCCUACUAGGGCGAUAGAUCUGACGGCAGAAGCCCGAUCGUCCCUAGAAGAAGCUCGACAAAGUCAUUCCUGCAAAAAAAAAAAAAACAAAAACAAAACAAAAACAAAAACAAACAACACAAAAAAAAAAAAAAACAAACAAAACAAACAAAAAAAAACAAAACAAACAAAAUAAAAAACACACACACAAAAAAAAGAGAAAAAAAAAAAGAGAAAGGAGAAGAAAAGUUUUCUAUACCUUUCCGCUGAUUGGAUGAGGAAUAAGCGUUGGAUGAGGUAUAAGUGAGUAGGGUAUGAGUCUAUUUAUAAGCCCAACAAAUCCAAUUCCUACAAAGGAUUAGGAAUGAUAUUUAAUUAUUUUUUAAAAAAAAACAAAUCCAAUUCCUAAAAGGAAUAGGAAUGAUUUUUAAAAAUAUAUAUAUAUAA
RNAcentral lists this long non-coding RNA (561 nucleotides) under Cucumis sativus (cucumber). Its description in RNAcentral is "long non-coding RNA (CSAT_LNC002958)". Lineage: Eukaryota; Viridiplantae; Streptophyta; Magnoliopsida; Cucurbitales; Cucurbitaceae. The record is from RNAcentral.